UAGGACUUACUCUUGUGAUUUUUACCUUU
Molecule: non-coding RNA, 29 nt
Filed under: Rattus norvegicus (Norway rat)
Lineage: Eukaryota; Metazoa; Chordata; Mammalia; Rodentia; Muridae
Source: RNAcentral